UUCUCGCUCAAAGAAUCGCAUUCGAAGCACACAAACAGAAAUAUCUUUAUUGAUGUUUCAAUUCACAUUCAUGCUUUGGGAGAAAGUCCCCGGACACCCUACUUUUUAAAAGUUAGGAUUGCGGAAACGCGUCGCCAUAGAAGCACUUGCGGCUUCUCUUCUACCAACUCUUUUAUCUUCAUUUCAUACAUCCUACUACCGAUUGUACUAUUACCUGGACGCUUCUUGACGAUUGAGUUCGGAGCAUGGAAGACCACAUGGAUGAAGAUAUGAGUCCGAGCUUCUUUGCGAUGUUUUCACUUCGACUUGAAGAAGAUGAGUGAUAAGAGGUGGAAGGUAUGUUCCUGAUUGAGAUGGGGAGUGCUAAUGGUAGAAGAGGCUUUUUCGUCGAGAUCGAUAGUUAUGCGAUUGCUUUCUUUUGCUGCAAAGCUGGGAAGGUAACUCGAUGGGGCUUAUUCUUGAUGCGAGG
Molecule: RNase MRP RNA, 469 nt
Filed under: Sclerotinia borealis F-4128
Lineage: Eukaryota; Fungi; Ascomycota; Leotiomycetes; Helotiales; Sclerotiniaceae
Description: RNase MRP
Rfam family: RNase MRP
About the family: RNase MRP is an enzymatically active ribonucleoprotein with two distinct roles in eukaryotes.
Source: Rfam by way of RNAcentral